Molecule: RNA transcript, 5588 nt
Organism: Lemur catta (Ring-tailed lemur)
Lineage: Eukaryota; Metazoa; Chordata; Mammalia; Primates; Lemuridae
Gene: DYNC2I1
Gene name: dynein 2 intermediate chain 1
Exons: 26
Source: RefSeq, a predicted model, not a curated record
GAGCCGGUGACGCGCCGCCCGCGGAGCCUCAGCGCAGCAGGCCCGGGCCCGGCGGGAGGAGGGUGCGGGCGCCGCCGGCUGGUCUCCUCCUGGGGUGGCCCGAGCCUGGCCGGGGCCGAGGAUACCGCGGCCGCCGGGCGUGUGGAGAGCGAUGGAGCCUAGGAAGAGAAGAAGCAAAGAGGACACUUGGGAAGCGGAGGACCUGAGGAGACACCUCUGGGCUGCGCAGUCAGGCAGUCCCAGGGAGGAGAGGAAACACGGGGACAAGCAGCUGCACAAGGAGUCUGAGGUGGCCCUCCUGGGACACCAGGAGCCUAAGUGCAGGGGUGCGGGCCACGAGACCAAGCACAGAGAGAGGGUGGCCGAGGCUCACACCGCCAAGGAGAGUCCUCUCGGGGAGAGAGACAGAGAAAAGCAACGUGAGAGGAGAAGAGACACAAAAGAGCGGGAGAAAGACAAGCUGAAGGAGAAACACCGGGAGCAGGAUGACGGAAGGUCUCACGGCAAAGGAAAGGACAGAGAAAAGGAGAAAGACAGAAGGGCCAGGAGAGAAGAGCAGGUCUGGCAGACGUCCGCCUUCCACAACCUGCUGGGCCGGGAGGCGCGGGCCCGGCAGCCACCGCAGCGGGCGGAGAGGACGGGCCGCUCAGCAAGUAAAGUGAGAAGUGAAGAGAAAGAAAGGAGAGAUGAAGACUCAGAAAGAGGAGAUGAAGACAGAGAAAGAAGAUACCGGGAGAGGAAGCUGCAGUACGGGGACAGCAGGGGCAACCCUCUCAAGUACUGGCUGUACAAGGAAGAGGGCGAGAGGAGACACAGGAAGCCACGAGGGGCAGAUCGAGAGAAGAAACACCGAGAGAAGAGCAGCACAAGGGAGAAGAGGGAGAAGUACUCCAAAGAAAAAAGCAGUUCUUUCUCGGACAGAGAAGGGGAAGAGAGGCACAGGGAGAAAUGCCACAGGGAAGGCCUCCCUGCCGACGAGGCGCAGCAGCGAAGUCACUCGGAGAGAAAAGAGAAAUUGUCGCGAGAGGAGCGUAAGAGAAGGGAGCCCAAGAACGGUGAACACAGGAGUCGGGGUGCCAGUUCGAGGAGAGACGGGACCAGCAGCCAGCAUGCAGAGAAUUUAGUGAGGAAUAAUGGAAAAGAGAAAGACUCAAGAAGGAAGCACGGCCGUGAGGAGGGCUCCUGCGGGUGGAAGCUGGUGCAGAGGCGAGGACACGAGGAGACCGUGGAAAUUGAAAAGGAAGAGAUUGAUUCAGAAAAUGCUAGAGAUAAUGAAUAUACAGCCAGUUUUGAAGAUGAUUUUGAAGAGUAUGAGGACGACUUUGAGGUCUGUGACGAUGACGAGGACGGCAGUGCUGAGCCCGAGCUAAGAGGGACGCUGGAAGAACUUCCUCCAGCCCAGAAAAGGGAGAUACAAGAAAUUCAAAAAGCCAUCAGCGCGGAAAAUGAGAGGAUUGGCGAGUUGUCUUUGAAGCUAUCUCGGAAUCAAGGUGGAGUGGAACGGGAAAGGGAAUCCAGGACAGAUGCAAACAGUUCCCCAUCCAGAGCCUCUGUUUGUGGGAUUUUUGUGGAUUUUGCAACAGCUUCACACCGUCAAAAGAGUCGGACUCAGGCCCUUAAGCAAAAGACACGAAGUACAAAACUGCUUCGACUUAUUGACUUAGAUUUUUCAUUCACUUUCUCUCUCUUGGAUCUGCCACCAGUGAAUGAAUAUGACAUGUACAUCAGAAACUUUGGGAAAAAAAACACCAAGCAGGCAUAUGUUCAGUAUAAUGAAGAUAAUGUUGAGAGAGACGUUCAAACUGAAGAAAUAGAGACCAGGGAAGUGUGGACCCAGCAUCCAGGAGAAAGCAAUGUAGUCUCUGGAGGCAGUGAGAAAAGAGAUAUCUCUGAUGCUACAGUUGUACCAAAGAUUGAUACUCCAAGGCUGUCAAGCUUUCUGCAGGCAGCUUGCCAGGUGGUGGCUGUGUUGCUGGAGGAGGACCGUUUGGCAGCGGGACCCAGCCGGACUCCCCGCGCUCAGGACGGCACCUUGUCCAUCAGCGAAAGCUCGUCGCAGCUGAACACGAACCUGCCCUUCCUGCAAAAUCGAAAAGUAUCCUGUUUGCAUGUCUCUCGAGCUCAGAGGCAGAUGGUGGUCUCUGUUCAUGAUUUACCCAAGAAGGCGUUUGCUCCCCAGCUGGACGGCAGAUACGUCCUCUGUGUGUGGGAUAUUUGGCAGCCCUCAGGGCCCCAGAAGGUUCUGAUAUGUGAGUCCAAGGUCACAUGCUGCUGCUUUAGCCCCUUGAAAGCAUUUCUGCUCUUUGCCGGAACAGUGCAUGGCUCGGUCGCCGUGUGGGACCUAAGAGAAGACUCCAGGAUACACCAUUAUGUGAAGCUGAGCGAUUGUUUCUGGACGUUCAGGACGUCAACAUUUUCUACUGAUGGAAUCUUUACACCAGUAAACCACCAAAGUCCUCUGCAAGCAAUAGAACCCGUCUCAACCUCUGUCUGCAAAAAACAGAGCUUUGUGCUUUCACCUUUUUCUACUCAAGAAGAAAUGUCAGGUUUGUCAUUCCACAUCGCGUCGUUGGACGAGAGUGGGGUUCUCAAUGUGUGGGUGGUUGUUGAAUUGCCGAAGGCAGACACCGCAGGUUCAGUAAGCGACUUAGGCCUGCUCCCUGGAGGGAGGAUCAAGCUGGUGCACAGCGCUGUGAUCCCGCUGGGGCGCAGUCUUUCCUGUAAAGUCAGUGAGUUUUGGGCGACCACACAAAUGCUGAAUAUUAAGUUUCUACCUUCAGAUCCUAGUCGCUUUAUUGUUGGCACAGACGUGGGGCUGGUGGGCCAUGGCGCGUGGCAGGACCUGAGAGCAUCUCCCGCGUCCUUCAAGCCUCAGCAGCGCGGCCUGAGACCCGUCAGAGUCAACGUGAUUGAUUUCUCUCCAUUUGGAGACCCAAUAUUUUUGGCUGGCUGCUCGGACGGGAGUGUGCGGCUGCACGGGCUGAGCUGCGAGCACCCGCUCCUGCAGUGGGACGGCAGCACGGGCGGCCGUGCCGUCACCGGCCUGCAGUGGUCCCCAGUGAGGCCGGCCGUGUUCCUGGUCCAGGACGACAUGUCCAACAUCUACGUCUGGGACCUGCUCGCCAGCGACCUGGGCCCGGUGGCCAGACAGCCCGUCUCCCCCGACAGGCUGCUGGCCAUGGCCGUCGGGGGAGAGCCGGACAAGGCCGGCGGCAGCGAGCUGGCCCUGGUGCUGGCCCGGGCGUCUGGCGCCGUGGACGUCCAGUUCCUGCGGAGGCAGUGGGCAGCCCCGGAGGCAGACGAGCGCGCCCGGCUGCGCCUGCUUUUGCAGGAAGCACGGUGGAAGGAGGGAGGCCAGUGCGAGUGACGGGUGUUGCUGGGAGCACAGCGUUCACGUAAGGACCCGAUGUGAGAGGCAUGAGGUGGCUGAUGUCACAUCCGUGUGCGCGGCUGUUUGUGUGUAUAGCAUAUGUGUGUCCUGUACAUAAUUUAUUUUAUAAGAGUGUUACUUUGGAAUUGCCAGUAAAUAAAUCACUAUUUUUGAACAGAAACAAAUGGACAUUUUAGUGGAUGCUACAUGUCAAAGAAUUAGUCGUGUCCAGGAUGCUGAGUAUUUCUAGUUAUUUUUAGAACAUUUAAAAUGUUGCCAUAUUCAUUACUAGAUUCUUAACUGUCUGCCAUGAAGUUGUAUUUUAAUGGACUAUUUUUUAGUCAUGCAUAAAGUGAUAUAUACACACACGUCUAAAUUAAAAGGAAUUACUCCCCUGAAAUGACCUCUGCUGACAGUGUUUUCUUUAAACUUUUCUUGGGCAUCUUCUUUUGCCAUUAUUUGAAUGUCCCUUAUGGGGUCAAGUCAUUGACGCUUUAGCAUUAAAAAUUGUCUUUGUCUAGGAACAAUGCAAGGAAAUAAAGUCUCUUGAAGUUUGUGACUCAGAUACAACAGGAAUGGAAGGCGUCUCAGUCCAUUUGUGCUGCUGUAGCACAGUGACGGGGACUAGGAACUUGCAAAGGACAGAAAUGCACGUCCCCGGCUCUGGCGGCUGGAAGUCCCGGCUGUCCUUGCGGCUGCUCUCUGCUUCCGCGGUGGCGCCUCGUUGCCGCGUCCUCACACAGCGACGCACGUGGGGGUCAGGCUCUUUCCUCACGGCCUUGAUCCACCUGUGAGGGCUGUGCCUCCCAAAGGUGUCGUCACCUUGGGGUUUAAGUUCCAGUGAAUUUUGGGGGGGCACACACAUCACACCAUAGCAGAAGGACAGGAGGAUUCUGGGAGUGAGACCAGGGAAAAGCCAGGACAUGUCGCAUAGGCCCACUCCUCUGCCUCUGUCUUCUGCACCUUUCCAGAAUGUUCCCAGCACAGUUGGCUGUCGAUGGGCCCGUGAGGGCCAGCAGGACAGGCCUGUUUAAACCUCACCGGGUCAUAGAACUGCCUCCACUUAGGCGGCCGGGCUGGGGGCCUACCCAGGGCUCCCUGGUGCUGUGGACACACCAGCUCCGCGACUUGGGGCUGCAGCGGGACUUCCCGGAGGGGCUGUGUCACAGCACCAAGCAACCUGCAGCCUUUGUGUCCUUUUUCGUGAAGUUGAUUUGAAACCGUCAACCCCCCCGUCCCCGUUACAAAAACAGUUGAGAUGGGAUAACGUGGACCUUCCCCUCCCGUCCAAGUCCCAUCCCGGGAGGCCCAGUCGCGUGUGUGUGUGUGUUCAGCCCUCUGGGUGCACAGAUGCGCGUGCGAACACGCUGGCUUGUGAAGUGUCGUGGAGGACGAGGGGUGGCAGUAGCUGGCACCUGACAGCCCAUGCGUCCCUCCUCUGUCCCACGAAAGGAGGACCACUGAGGCACACAACAGACGCAUCGCAGGUCCCUGUCACACGGGCGGCUGGGCUCAGCUGCUCCUCUGCGUCCUCCCCAGGCUCAGGCUCACAGGUGAGGCGGGUGCCCCGGCCCCGCGGGGUCCUCACCGCAACCUGCUUCCUGACGGGUCCCGAGUAGCCAAAGAUUGAUGUUAUCUGUGUCUGUGAGCCACACGGAAAUGUGAAGCGUGCAAAGAAAGAAAAGUCCAGAAAGGCCAAGUGAUCUGCCUUCAGCCCGGUCUCCAGGGAAGACUCGGCUGUUUGUCUGGGAGCUGCCUUCCCCGGUGCCAGCCAUGAGCGAUGCUUCCCAGGGCUUGGGGACACCUCCCGGCUCUGCAGCGGGAAAACAAGGAGGCACCAGGACGGCGGGUGCAGCCUCUAGUUGAGAAAAAACACAUUUCAUUGCAGAUCAGGAAAGCAGGCCCAGAGAGAAGAGAGCAGACGGCGUGGAGGGCAGCUCUGCCUGCGCCUGGGGCUUUCCCAGGCGCUCCAUCCACCCGCGGGACGGGCCAGGCCAUGCCCUUUCCGCAGAGCGUCCCCACACGGGCCUCCCGGGGCCAGCCGGGUGUCGCUGCACGUGCUUCGGAGACACCCAGCGUGCGGCCACACAAAGACAGCGUUUUCUUCUGCGGGCAGACAAUGGAAAUGUAAUUUUCUCUUUUUUUGUCAUGUUGUUAUUUAGAAAUCACUUUUCUUUCAGCAUUUGUCAUGAGUAUAAAUAAAGCAUUUCUUUUUUCA